RNAcentral lists this ribosomal RNA (326 nucleotides) under uncultured bacterium. Its description in RNAcentral is "bacterial SSU rRNA". It matches the Rfam family "Bacterial small subunit ribosomal RNA", at positions 588 to 916 of the family's 1533-position model. The record is from RNAcentral.
UCGGUGGUGAAAUCCCGGAGCUUAACUCUGGAACUGCCAUCGAAACUGUUCAGCUAGAGUAUGAUAGAGGAAAGCAGAAUUUCUAGUGUAGAGGUGAAAUUCGUAGAUAUUAGAAAGAAUACCAAUUGCCAAAGGCGCUUUCUGGAUCAUUACUGACCCUGAGGAACAAAAGCAUGGGGAACCAAAAGGAUUAGAUACCCUCGUAGUCCAUGCCGUAAACGAUGUGUGUUAGACGUUGGAAAUUUAUUUUCAGUGUCGCACGGAAACCGAUAAACACACCGCCUGGGGAGUACGACCGCAAGGUUAAAACUCAAAUGAAUUGACGG